AGCGGUGUAUUAUAAUGGCUAGGAAACUGGGCUUGUAACUCAAAGGUUGUGGGUUCAAUUCCCAGCUGUGGUG
This 73-nucleotide transfer RNA is filed under the name Anguilla anguilla (European eel). Its description in RNAcentral is "tRNA-OTHER". Lineage: Eukaryota; Metazoa; Chordata; Actinopteri; Anguilliformes; Anguillidae. The record is from RNAcentral.